GCUUCUUGAGGGAGCUCGAUAAGUACACGUACGCAUCAUGUUGACGAUCAUCAUAAACCAUUAACACAGAAAUUUAAGACUUGGACUUGAAGGGGAUGGCUCUGAUCACAACCACGUGGUACAAAGCUGCAAGUGCUGCCCCAAUGAAUGGUCCAACCCAGAAAAUCCACUGCAACAUUAUUUUAAAAUACAAAAAAUUAGGGUUUAAAAAAAAUCAUUAAAUUGCUCUCAAACUUUUAGAUGGGUCCUCCUUGAAAGGGAAAUUAAAGACUAUUGGAUCCAAGUUUGAAUCUAGCAUUAGGUAGUGAAUACGUCCUCUUGCACUCAAAUUCGAGUUUUCUCUCCUUAAUUUAUAGCCGUUUAUGAUACGGCUUGUAUUUUUAAAAAGAAAAAUAGAUCAAUCAGAAAGGCUUACAUGGUCAUCCCAUGCAUGCUUCUUGUUGUAGAUGAUGGCAGCACCAAGACUCCUAGCUGGGUUGAUACCAGUUCCAGUGAUGGGGAUGGUAGCCAAGUGCACCAAGAACACAGCGAACCCAAUAGGCAAAGGUGCCAAAAUCUGUUAAUCAAACCCAAUUAUUCAAAUUAACAACCGAUUAAUCACCAGUUAACAAAUUAACACGAUCCAGCUAGGCUAAGGAAAAUGAUCAAACACUUAAUUAGCAUACAUACCGGAACAUGGGAGUCUCUGGCGCUGCGCUUGGCAUCAGUGGCCGAGAAAACUGUGUAGACAAGAACAAAGGUGCCAACGAUCUCAGCACCAAGCCCUGAUCCCUUGGUGUAGCCAUGGGCUACAGAGUUGGCCCCGCCACCAAGCAACUCGAAGUUGCGGCUCUUCUCGAAGCCCUUCACCACCGCCGCACCGGCGAUCGCCCCAAGCGUCUGCAUCACGAUGUAGAAAACCGCCCUUGUCAGCGACAGCUUCCGGGCCAAAAACAGCCCGAACGUCACCGCCGG
This 954-nucleotide long non-coding RNA is filed under the name Prunus persica (peach). RNAcentral describes it as "long non-coding RNA (PPER_LNC002817)". Lineage: Eukaryota; Viridiplantae; Streptophyta; Magnoliopsida; Rosales; Rosaceae. The record is from RNAcentral.